GACGAACGCUGGCGGCGUGCCUAACACAUGCAAGUCGAGCGGAGAUAAGCGGAUGGUAACUGAAGUUUGUCUUAGCGGCGGACGGGUGAGUAACACGUGGGCAACCUGCCUUGGAGUGGGGGAGUAACACCGGGAAAUCGGUGCUAAUACCGCAUAACAUACACAUACUGCAUGGUGAGUGUAUCAAAGGAGCAAUCCGCUUUAAGAUGGGCCCGCGGCUGAUUAGCUAGUUGGUAAGGUAACGGCUUACCAAGGCGACGAUCAGUAGCCGACCUGAGAGGGUGACCGGCCACACUGGAACUGAGACACGGUCCAGACUCCUACGGGAGGCAGCAGUGGGGAAUAUUGCGCAAUGGGGGAAACCCUGACGCAGCAACGCCGCGUGGAGGAAGAAGGUCUUCGGAUUGUAAACUCCUGUCUUCUGGGACGAAGUAUGACGGUACCAGAGGAGGAAGCCACGGCUAACUACGUG
RNAcentral lists this ribosomal RNA (472 nucleotides) under uncultured bacterium. RNAcentral describes it as "bacterial SSU rRNA". It matches the Rfam family "Bacterial small subunit ribosomal RNA", at positions 28 to 507 of the family's 1533-position model. The record is from RNAcentral.